GGUGAGCUCGGGAUCGGGUUGCGGGGCUUGGAGGCUGUUAGUUGGGUCUGGGUCAGGUUAUUGGGCCGGGCUCGUGACAAAAAAAAAACAAAAGACGGGAGAAAUUGAUGGUUACAAAAUCCCCAAGUUGGAAUUGAUUUUUGAAACACUACUGGGAAGACACAGUUGGGGAGAAGGAGAUAAGAACAAAUGGAUUUAGGGUUGAAGCGGUUCUUUUUCUUUGUUGUGACAAAGGGACACUGUCCUGGUGUUUAUACUAGUUGGGAAGAGGCUAACGAACAGGUAACUAACUUCAGUUUUCCAGAGUACCAAGGUUUUAAUAGCUAUGAACAUGCUUGUAUGUGCUUCAAGGCAAGAAUGUGUUCGCUGUCAUGGGAGAAAGCUUCGUGUGGUGAAUUCGUUGGCGCAAUUGGUGAAGGAGCCUCCGGACAUAACGACAAUCUAUCGAAUGAAAGGUCACGGCGUGGUGCAGUUGUGUCGUGGCUACCCGUUAUUCCAGAGGAGGAGCUGAAUUUGGACUUUGCUGUUGUGGCCAACAUGGAGGAUUGGUUGGUGAAGGUGUGCCAUGAUGCUCAAAUUCCUAGUCCAUGUUUUUUCAAGCAAGAACGGUUUACAAGAGAGAAAGGGCCAUUUUAUGGGUUCACUGUGGUGGUUCCGGGCAAUCCAUUUGAAGUUGAGCUUUCAGCCAGGGGUCGAUUCUCCUUGGUUGAGAAAGCUGCAAGAGAGGACGCAGCAUUUGAGAUGUUAGGUCGCGUGUUGGAUUUAACCGGAAAGGAGAUUCGGGACUAUAGCUAUUCGAAGCUGAAGCUUGUAAACGACAGUAACAAUGCUCUGCGUGCGAAGGUAAGUCAAUUAGAAGAGGCAUACGAGAAGCUGAGGGGUCGUUACGAUGCACUGAAACACGAAAACGUUGAAGGCAAUGCAAUCUGAAGAGUGGUCUACUAGGUAGAAGACAUGUUUCCAUCCAAACCAUGGACAGUGGCUUCCCAGCAGCGAAAUCUCAGGGAAGAAGAUGAUGCCGCUGCUGCCUUUGUUUUGCAUGGACACGCUGAAAAUGUGGAAGCUAUUGCUGAUGAUGUUUCUGAAGCGACCAACCGCAGAGAUGCCACAAUCUUACGCGGCUCCGCCAU
Arachis duranensis is the source of this 1130-nucleotide RNA transcript. RefSeq lists it as uncharacterized. The record is from RefSeq and is a predicted model, not a curated record. Lineage: Eukaryota; Viridiplantae; Streptophyta; Magnoliopsida; Fabales; Fabaceae. The transcript has 4 exons.